This 237-nucleotide long non-coding RNA is filed under the name Carica papaya (papaya). RNAcentral describes it as "long non-coding RNA (CPAP_LNC012254)". The record is from RNAcentral. Lineage: Eukaryota; Viridiplantae; Streptophyta; Magnoliopsida; Brassicales; Caricaceae.
UUGCAGUAACGGACAAAAGAUGACAGUUGUGAGAACGCAGGAAGCUACCUACACAUGUUUAAUUCUAACAGGUGCCACGUAGGCAGAGAACGAAUUGAUAGUUCACCUUCAGACACAGGCGCUCUGCUGGCCCAAAAUCUUGUCUUGUUUUGCGUUUUCUCCCUCCCGUUCAGGCCACGUCAUAAGUUUGUUGGGAAGCGGACCCCCAACCCCUUUCUCUCUUUGUCGCUUUGAAUC